GACGAACGCUGGCGGCGUGCUUAACACAUGCAAGUCGAACGGCAAGGCCCUGCUUUUGUGGGGUGCUCGAGUGGCGAACGGGUGAGUAACACGUGAGUAUCCUGCCCUUGACUUUGGGAUAACUUCAGGAAACUGGGGCUAAUACCGGAUAGGAGCUCCUGCUGCAUGGUGGGGGUUGGAAAGUUUCGGCGGUUGGGGAUGGACUCGCGGCUUAUCAGCUUGUUGGUGGGGGAGUGGCUUACCAAGGCUUUGACGGGUAGCCGGCCUGAGCGGGUGACCGACCACAUUGGGACUGAGAUAAGGCCCAGACGCGUAAGGGAGGAAGAAGGGGGGAAUAUUGAACAAGGGGCGGAAGGCGGAUGAAGAAACGCCGCGUGCGGGAAAACGGCCUUCGGGGUGUAAAACGCUGUCGCCUGUGACGAAGCGUGAGUGACGGUAAUGGGUAAAGAAGCACCGGCUAACUACGUG
This 468-nucleotide ribosomal RNA is filed under the name uncultured bacterium. RNAcentral's name for it is "partial 16S ribosomal RNA". It matches the Rfam family "Bacterial small subunit ribosomal RNA", at positions 28 to 507 of the family's 1533-position model. The record is from RNAcentral.